Long non-coding RNA from Epinephelus moara (kelp grouper), 205 nucleotides. RefSeq lists it as uncharacterized. Lineage: Eukaryota; Metazoa; Chordata; Actinopteri; Perciformes; Serranidae. The transcript is spliced from 2 exons. The record is from RefSeq and is a predicted model, not a curated record.
GGAAAUUACCCAGUACUUUAAGACUAAGGACAGGCAAACAGUGCACACUUCAUAAUCCAGCCCAGUCUCUUUUGUUAGUAUAUACUUAGGUGGAAAGUACUGCCUAGUUUCCCUGUAAGUUUUGGUGAAAGUACGCUGUAGAUGUGAGAACAGCACCUACCAUGUGGUUUCUGUGUAAUUAAAUAAUAAAAACAUUUUAUAACUU